AAAAACCUUAUGGGUAAGGAACAAGGCGUGCAGCAUACGAAUUCCGGCCAGCAGAUGGCAGCAGAGAACAAUACAAUGAAACAACAUAGUAAAAGAAGAGAUAAUAAUACAGUGCAGGAAUUAAAUUUGAAAGAACAGCACAA
Molecule: long non-coding RNA, 143 nt
Organism: Bufo bufo (common toad)
Lineage: Eukaryota; Metazoa; Chordata; Amphibia; Anura; Bufonidae
Exons: 3
Source: RefSeq, a predicted model, not a curated record